Molecule: ribosomal RNA, 370 nt
Filed under: uncultured bacterium
Lineage: Bacteria
Description: bacterial SSU rRNA
Rfam family: Bacterial small subunit ribosomal RNA
Source: RNAcentral
GACGAACGCUGGCGGCGUGCUUAACACAUGCAAGUCGAGCGGUAAGGCCCUUUCGGGGGUACACGAGCGGCGAACGGGUGAGUAACACGUGGGUGACCUGCCCUCAGUUCUGGGAUAAGCCUGGGAAACCGGGUCUAAUACUGGAUAUGACCUCAUGACGCAUGUUGUGGGGUGGAAAGCCUUGUGCGACUGAGGAUGGGCCCGCGGCCUAUCAGCUUGUUGGUGGGGUGAUGGCCUACCAAGGCGACGACGGGUAGCCGGCCUGAGAGGGCGACCGGCCACACUGGGACUGAGACACGGCCCAGACUCCUACGGGAGGCAGCAGUGGGGAAUCUUGCGCAAUGGGCGAAAGCCUGACGCAGCGACGCCG